RNAcentral lists this microRNA (22 nucleotides) under Ptychodera flava. RNAcentral describes it as "Pfl-Mir-2012_3p* (star (passenger))". Lineage: Eukaryota; Metazoa; Hemichordata; Enteropneusta; Ptychoderidae. The record is from RNAcentral.
GUGUUCAUAUUCCAGUACAGCC